RNAcentral lists this ribosomal RNA (265 nucleotides) under uncultured bacterium. Its description in RNAcentral is "partial 16S ribosomal RNA". It matches the Rfam family "Bacterial small subunit ribosomal RNA", at positions 89 to 354 of the family's 1533-position model. The record is from RNAcentral.
CGUUUAGUGGCGGACGGGUGAGUAACGCGUGGGUAACCUGCCCUGUACAGGGGGAUAACAGCUGGAAACGGCUGUUAAUACCGCAUAAGCGCACAGGAGCGCAUGCUCCGGUGUGAAAAACUCCGGUGGUACAGGAUGGACCCGCGUCUGAUUAGCUGGUUGGCGGGGUAACGGCCCACCAAGGCGACGAUCAGUAGCCGGCCUGAGAGGGUGAACGGCCACAUUGGGACUGAGACACGGCCCAAACUCCUACGGGAGGCAGCAG